Molecule: long non-coding RNA, 2485 nt
Organism: Sapajus apella (tufted capuchin)
Lineage: Eukaryota; Metazoa; Chordata; Mammalia; Primates; Cebidae
Exons: 2
Source: RefSeq, a predicted model, not a curated record
CAUGUUGACCAGGAUGGUCUCGAUCUCUUGACCUCGUGAUCCACCCGCCUCGGCCUCCCAAAGUGCUGGCAUUACAGGCUUGAGCCACCGCGCCCGGCCUCGUCCAAUCUUGUACUCCUGUGGCGCUGGGGCACCCUCUUUCUCUCCCGCCCGCGACCGCGGCCUGGUGGCUUUUAUUCGUCCCUGCGGCCUGAGCGGGCCAUUGCUCACGUACACAGGAAGACAGGCAUUUGCAAGUGUCGUAAGGGUUAUUGCCGAGUUUAAAAUGAGUUAACUGAGACCAGCAUAAGAAGAUUAAAUGCCAGUUUAUUUAGCUCCCGGGUGAAGUUCCAUGGUCCCAGGGAAAAGGGGCCAGGGAAGUCGCACCAACUUCCUGGGGCGUGGGGUUUUUAUGACUAGGAGGAGCAAGCAACAGCUGGGUGCUCUGAUUGACUCCAGGGGAGCGGGAUUGAGAUGGGGCGCGUUUUCCGGUGGGAGAACCGGCCAGGAGCCUUGCAUUAGCUGGAGCCUUCCAGGGGAGCACUGCGGCAGAGCUAGGUGCCGAGUGCAGAGGUGGGCGUGUCCAACCUCCCGACAAGGCAGCCGGCCUUACAGUCAGGAUAACCACAUCAUCACUGCUGUUGGCACUCACAGGUGGCAAUGCAUAUAAAACAACGAUCUGCUUGAGCUACUAGUGAAGUACCAUAGUGAAAGCAUGCAGGGGCACUGCCAGCUUAAGGAAAAGUAAGUUGCUUGUCCAUUCAUUGAGUGGUUAGCACCUGCUUUACAAAUCUCUUAAACAUCUGGCUCCAUGCCCUUUACACAGGAGUUCACACAGACAGAGACGUUUAUUUUUUCUUCCUAAUCACAUACCUUUUAAGAUUCAUAAUUUGGGAUGAGCAAAAGGCUCAACAGGAGGUGGGGAUGAAUUAAAAAACCAUAAAAUUGAUGCUGUCACUCUGAUUGACAUACCACUAGUGCAGCAUGCAUUUCCUGUUUGUCAAGAAUGAAAGGUGUUCACAUUCUGUAAUAAUACCUAGUAAUGUCUUGGAAAGACAAACUGCUGCCUGACUACAUUUUACCAAAAUGGAUUUUUUUCUCCUUUUUGCCAGCACUGAAGUCAGGAGCUAGAGUGUACAUUACAACCCUAUAUAAAGGAUGACCUAGAUAUUUAAUAACUCAGGUAUUGCAGUCUACUACCUGGACCUCCCCAGGUCUCCGAUGCUGUAUUCUAGUAUGCCUGAAAUCACCAUUACACCUUAAGACUAAUUCAGAGAAGCAUCCAGGGAGCUAGAUGUCCAGGAAUGCCAUAAUAAACUUCAGAGAAUGGGUUUCCUUUGCUCCCUAUAGCUGUCUCAUCACAAAUUCGCCAACACUCUACCUCUUAGAGGUCUGUCUGACAAUUAACAUUUUGUGCAGCAUAGUAAAGAGAAUCUUGUACGUAGGGAUCAGGAGGCCUGACUCCCUCUAGCUACUAUGUCACUAACCAUCUAAGCAAGCCAGCCAUUUAACUUCUACACCUCAGUGUCAUCACACUUAAAAUAGAUUCUUCCAUUUGCCUUGGCUUCUUGAGGGGUUGGUUGUUGAAGAAUAAAAGUAAAAUUAUACCUUUAUAACUUGCAUGCAAUCUUUGUCAUGUAGAUCACAAAUAUGAUUAUGUAUUUGUUAAACAAAAAAUUUGGAGAAUAUUUAAAAUAAUCUACUCUGGGGCAAUAAUUUGGUAAAAGAAUGAGGAAGAAUCAAUGAGGUACACAAUAUUAUGUGACAGGGUUAACAUCAGAAGAAAAUUAAAUAUAGCAUGUAUUUGUUAAAGAAUUUGGAGAAUAUUUAAAAUAAUCUAUUCUGGGGCAAUAAUUUGGUAAAAGAAUGAGGAAGAAUCAAUGAGGUACACAAUAUUAUGUGACAGGGUUAGCAUCAGAAGAAAAUUAAAUGUAGUUAUAGCCAUUCAAGAAUUAUUCUUACAGUAAAGUUUUAGCCAAAGAUGUAUCCCUCAACUUACUGCCCUGUUAUUACUAUUUACAUCCCUAUGGAGUAUGAAUUACAGAUAUUGACUACUAGCUUUUCAAACAUUAAAAUAUUAUUUCGGGGAAACAAAGAAUAAAGGGAAAAGAUUAAAUAAAUCUGAAAACUUUAGGAGAAAGAUAGAAUAGGAAUGUUUGUAUUAAGUGUUCUAAUGACACAUUUUUGCAUUUUCAAGUCUUGGGAUUCUGUUAUUUCCAUAGAAGAUUUCAAGAUAAUAAAUGUAAGAUUAGUGCACAAUCAUUGUCUAAAAAUACCAAGUUUCAAGUGUCGGGCACUACAUCCUCAACAACCCUUUGUCUCUGGAAUUAUAAACACAGACUUCUAUGAUUUGGAAAGCCUAUGGAAAAUUGACCCAAAUGAAAAAAGGGAAAUGUUUUGUAGACCCCGCUUUUGUGAUAAUACUGUUGCAAAGGGAUCAAAGUGCUUUCGAAUACAAUUUAUUGCUGUUGUUUUUACUAAAUCAAAUAAAGGCUUUAAGCAAAAA